GAGUUGAUCAUGGCUCAGAACGAACGCUGGCGGCAUGCCUAACACAUGCAAGUCGAAACGCCCCGCAAGGGGAGUGGCGGACGGGUGAGUAACGCGUGGGAACCUGCCCAAUGGUUCGGAAUAACCGCGGGAAACUGCGGCUAAUACCGAAUAAGCCCGAGAGGGGAAAGAUUAUCGCCGAUGGAGGGGCCCGCGUCCGAUUAGGUAGUUGGUGAGGUAACGGCUCACCAAGCCUUCGAUCGGUAGCUGGUCUGAGAGGAUGAUCAGCCACACUGGGACUGAGAUACGGCCCAGACUCCUACGGCUGGCAGCAGUGGGGAAUAUUGGACAAUGGGGGCAACCCUGAUCCAGCAAUGCCGCGUGAGUGAUGAAGGCCUUAGGGUUGUAAAGCUCUUUUGCCGGGGACGAUGAUGACGGUACCCGGAGAAUAAGCCCCGGCUAACUUCGUGCCAGCAGCCGCGGUAAUACGAAGGGGGCGAGCGUUGUUCGGAAUUACUGGGCGUAAAGGGCGCGUAGGCGGCGACCCAAGUCAGAUGUGAAAGUCCUGGGCUUAACCUGGGGAUUGCAUUUGAUACUGGGUUGCUUGAAUGCAGGAGAGGAUAGCGGAAUUCCCAGUGUAGAGGUGAAAUUCGUAGAUAUUGGGAAGAACACCGGUGGCGAAGGCGGCUAUCUGGACUGUGAUUGACGCUGAGGCGCGAAAGCGUGGGGAGCAAACAGGAUUAGAUAACCCUGGUAGUUCCACGCCGUAAACGAUGAGUGCUAGACGCUGGGGAGCAUGCUCUUNCGGUGUCGCAGCUAACGCAUUAAGCA
RNAcentral lists this ribosomal RNA (810 nucleotides) under uncultured bacterium. RNAcentral's name for it is "bacterial SSU rRNA". It matches the Rfam family "Bacterial small subunit ribosomal RNA", at positions 9 to 866 of the family's 1533-position model. The record is from RNAcentral.